Molecule: ribosomal RNA, 496 nt
Filed under: uncultured bacterium
Lineage: Bacteria
Description: partial 16S ribosomal RNA
Rfam family: Bacterial small subunit ribosomal RNA
Source: RNAcentral
GAUGAACGCUGGCGGCGUGCCUAAUACAUGCAAGUCGAACGCACAGCGAAAGGUGCUUGCACCUUUCAAGUGAGUGGCGAACGGGUGAGUAACACGUGUACAACCUGCCUCAAGGCUGGGGAUAACAUUUGGAAACAGAUGCUAAUACCGAAUAAAACUUAGUGUCGCAUGACACAAAGUUAAAAGGCGCUUCGGCGUCACCUAGAGAUGGAUCCGCGGUGCAUUAGUUAGUUGGUGGGGUAAAGGCCUACCAAGACAAUGAUGCAUAGCCGAGUUGAGAGAGGGACGGGCCCAUUGGGACUGAGACACGGCCCAAACUCCUACGGGAGGCUGCAGUAGGGAAUCUUCCACAAUGGGCGAAAGCCUGAUGGAGCAACGCCGCGUGUGUGAUGAAGGCUUUCGGGUCGUAAAGCACUGUUGUAUGGGAAGAACAGCUAGAAUAGGAAAUGAUUUUAGUUUGACGGUACCAUACCAGAAAGGGACGGCUAAAUACGUG